GAAUGCUAAUACCGGAUAACAACAGAUGAUGCCUAUCAACUGUUUAAAAGAUGGUUCUGCUAUCACUCUUGGAUGGACCUGCGGUGCAUUAGCUAGUUGGUAGGGUAACGGCCUACCAAGGCGAUGAUGCAUAGCCGAGUUGAGAGACUGAUCGGCCACAUUGGGACUGAGACACGGCCCAAACUCCUACGGGAGGCAGCAGCC
This 204-nucleotide ribosomal RNA is filed under the name uncultured Lactobacillus sp. RNAcentral's name for it is "partial 16S ribosomal RNA". It matches the Rfam family "Bacterial small subunit ribosomal RNA", at positions 158 to 355 of the family's 1533-position model. The record is from RNAcentral. Lineage: Bacteria; Bacillati; Bacillota; Bacilli; Lactobacillales; Lactobacillaceae.